CGUAUUUCAUUUGUCAGUACGGACCACUUACCAAAGCUUGAAAUAAAAUACCUGUCCAAGGAAGAAGACAGAGAGUAGACAAGGGCACCAUGGUGUGCGUCAAGGAGACAACCACCUUUCCCAAACUCAGUUGCCUGUUUGUGUAUCUUGAGCCUUUAGGGACAAUGUUCUUUUUCCUUCCUCAUUUAGUGCCAAUAGCAGGUGGGUUGGCGUUUGAUUGAUGUGCCUCAGCUUUCUUCUGGAAAAGCACAUUGGCUCGGCUUCAGCUUCACAUGUAGUUAAGUGAAGAAGAAGAAGAAACGAUAACACGCGGUAUAUAUGUCCAUACUUUAGUCAGUCAAAGUAUUUUUUUUGAAAGUUUUGUUCAGCUAUUGAAUUUAUAAGUCGAACAUAUAUUAUAACACUAAAAGCCUCUUCUGCUGCUCCAUCAAUAAUAGUCCAGAAAUAGCAAGCAAGUGAACAAAAUACAGUGAUAUGUGUGUAGAUUGUCAGGAUUCAUCAUUGCAUAUCAUUUUUCUCUGGAUACUACAUAUGCAAGCGCAUGAUAUUGAUAUGCCAACGUUUCUGAAUAAGAGCCAUAUUUUCAGCUUGCUAAAACUCAAAAAAUACAUAAGCUCAGAAAAUCCAUGAAGGGAAGAAAACUCAGAAAAUACAGAAGUUCUAAAACAUGCAGACUUGUUCACACUAAAUCAGUACCCACCUUUACCCAUCAAUACUACUUGCUUAUUUUGACGAACCGUCAAACCUGUAAGGAUUUGUUUACUUCUAUAAAUUACAGAAAUAACAUUAUGAAAGAUGCAUUUAGGUACAGAGUUAUAGGUAACUAACAUGAAUUGGAUCUUGUAGGCCCCUGUGGCCCUGUAUAUAUCUGUCUCAAGUCUUAACAGCUCCAGCUCUUAGACAAACAUAAAAACAAUGUUAAAUUCAAAUGCCUUAAAAACCACAUGAAUGAAAUUUUGUAUCGACCUGAACAACUAUCAAGUCACACACCAAAAACGUCUAUUACAGGAUAGGAAUUUUGUUGCUUCCCUCCAACCCCAAUUGUAAUCAAAUUUUGACAAAAGAAUGAAUUACCACAGUGAUCAAUCACCUGAAGGACUUGAAAUCAUAGUGAUCAAUCUACAUUCUUCCUCAGGUCUUUACUUUGAAACCCGGUUUGCCAUGCUGCUUACAGAAGAGAAAUGCUAGAAGCAGAAACUUCAGGUCUCUUGCAAGUCCAAAGUCAAACAAAUUCAGAAGUUACUUCCAGUUCAUUUCACUAACUAAGCCAAAACUAAUCAAGGCAACUCACAUGUGGGGAAAUCCUCAAAUUUUUGCAGUCCCAACUUAGAAC
This 1333-nucleotide long non-coding RNA is filed under the name Triticum aestivum (bread wheat). RNAcentral describes it as "long non-coding RNA (TAES_LNC008225)". The record is from RNAcentral. Lineage: Eukaryota; Viridiplantae; Streptophyta; Magnoliopsida; Poales; Poaceae.